RNAcentral lists this ribosomal RNA (496 nucleotides) under uncultured bacterium. Its description in RNAcentral is "partial 16S ribosomal RNA". It matches the Rfam family "Bacterial small subunit ribosomal RNA", at positions 29 to 507 of the family's 1533-position model. The record is from RNAcentral.
AUGAACGCUGGCGGCGUGCCUAAUACAUGCAAGUCGAGCGAACAGACGAGGAGCUUGCUCCUCUGACGUUAGCGGCGGACGGGUGAGUAACACGUGGAUAACCUACCUACAAGACUGGGAUAACUUCGGGAAACCGGAGCUAAUACCGGAUAAUAUAUUGAACCGCAUGGUUCAAUAGUGAAAGACGGUUUUGCUGUCACUUAUAGAUGGAUCCGCGCCGCAUUAGCUAGUUGGUAAGGUAACGGCUUACCAAGGCAACGAUGCGUAGCCGACCUGAGAGGGUGAUCGGCCACACUGGAACUGAGACACGGUCCAGACCCCUACGGGAGGCAGCAGUAGGGAAUCUUCCGCAAAGGGCGAAAGCCUGACGGAGCAACGCCGCGUGAGUGAUGAAGGUCUUCGGAUCGUAAAACUCUGUUAUUAGGGAAGAACAAAUGUGUAAGUAACUAUGCACGUCUUGACGGUACCUAAUCAGAAAGCCACGGCUAACUACGUG